RNAcentral lists this ribosomal RNA (465 nucleotides) under uncultured Klebsiella sp. RNAcentral describes it as "bacterial SSU rRNA". It matches the Rfam family "Bacterial small subunit ribosomal RNA", at positions 338 to 795 of the family's 1533-position model. Lineage: Bacteria; Pseudomonadati; Pseudomonadota; Gammaproteobacteria; Enterobacterales; Enterobacteriaceae. The record is from RNAcentral.
CCUACGGGUGGCUGCAGUGGGGAAUAUUGCACAAUGGGCGCAAGCCUGAUGCAGCCAUGCCGCGUGUGUGAAGAAGGCCUUCGGGUUGUAAAGCACUUUCAGCGGGGAGGAAGGCGUUAAGGUUAAUAACCUUGUCGAUUGACGUUACCCGCAGAAGAAGCACCGGCUAACUCCGUGCCAGCAGCCGCGGUAAUACGGAGGGUGCAAGCGUUAAUCGGAAUUACUGGGCGUAAAGCGCACGCAGGCGGUCUGUCAAGUCGGAUGUGAAAUCCCCGGGCUCAACCUGGGAACUGCAUUCGAAACUGGCAGGCUAGAGUCUUGUAGAGGGGGGUAGAAUUCCAGGUGUAGCGGUGAAAUGCGUAGAGAUCUGGAGGAAUACCGGUGGCGAAGGCGGUCCCCUGGACAAAGACUGACGCUCAGGUGCGAAAGCGUGGGGAGCAAACAGGAUUAGAUACCCGUGUAGUC